UACAGACUGCACCAAGCUUUAA
Molecule: microRNA, 22 nt
Filed under: Drosophila virilis
Lineage: Eukaryota; Metazoa; Arthropoda; Insecta; Diptera; Drosophilidae
Description: dvi-miR-9706b-5p
Source: miRBase by way of RNAcentral